RNAcentral lists this ribosomal RNA (549 nucleotides) under Trichopodus trichopterus (three spot gourami). Its description in RNAcentral is "partial large subunit ribosomal RNA". It matches the Rfam family "Bacterial large subunit ribosomal RNA", at positions 1846 to 2596 of the family's 2925-position model. Lineage: Eukaryota; Metazoa; Chordata; Actinopteri; Anabantiformes; Osphronemidae. The record is from RNAcentral.
UAAGAGGUCCCGCCUGCCCUGUGACAAAAAGUUUAACGGCCGCGGUAUUUUGACCGUGCAAAGGUAGCGCAAUCACUUGUCUUUUAAAUGAAGACCUGUAUGAAUGGCAUAACGAGGGCUUUACUGUCUCCUUUUUCAAGUCAAUGAAAUUGAUCUCUCCGUGCAGAAGCGGGGAUAAGACCAUAAGACGAGAAGACCCUAUGGAGCUUUAGACACCAAAGCAGAUCUUGUUAAGAACACUUAAACAAAAGACUAAACCAAAAGAAUCCUGCCCUAAUGUCUUUGGUUGGGGCGACCGCGGGGAAACAAAAAACCCCCAUGUGGACUGAGAGCACACUCUCAAAACCAAGAGCCACAGCUCUAAUUAACAGAAUUUCUGACCUUAAGAUCCGGCAAUGCCGAUCAACGGACCGAGUUACCCUAGGGAUAACAGCGCAAUCCUCUUUUAGAGCCCAUAUCGACAAGGGGGUUUACGACCUCGAUGUUGGAUCAGGACAUCCUAAUGGUGCAGCCGCUAUUAAGGGUUCGUUUGUUCAACGAUUAAAGUCC